GGAUGCCUACGGGGGGCAGCAGUGGGGGAUAUUGCACAAUGGGGGGAACCCUGAUGCAGCGACGCCGCGUGGGUGAAGAAGCGCCUCGGCGCGUAAAGCCCUGUCAGCAGGGAAGAACGGUCACUGUGCUAAUCAGCAGUGAAUUGACGGUACCUGCAAAGGAAGCACCGGCUAACUCCGUGCCAGCAGCCGCGGUAAUACGGAGGGUGCGAGCGUUAAUCGGAAUUACUGGGCGUAAAGCGCUCGUAGGCGGUAUGUCAAGUCAAGGGUGAAA
RNAcentral lists this ribosomal RNA (274 nucleotides) under uncultured bacterium. Its description in RNAcentral is "partial 16S ribosomal RNA". It matches the Rfam family "Bacterial small subunit ribosomal RNA", at positions 333 to 599 of the family's 1533-position model. The record is from RNAcentral.